UGGGGAAUAUCGGACAAUGGGCGAAAGCCUGAUCCAGCCAUGCCGCGUGUGUGAAGAAGGUCUUCGGAUUGUAAAGCACUUUAAGUUGGGAGGAAGGGCAGUAAGCGAAUACCUUGCUGUUUUGACGUUACCGACAGAAUAAGCACCGGCUAACUCUGUGCCAGCAGCCGCGGUAAUACAGAGGGUGCAAGCGUUAAUCGGAAUUACUGGGCGUAAAGCGCGCGGAGGUGGUUCGUUAAGUUGAAUGUGAAAGCCCCGGGCUCAACCUGGGAACUGCAUCCAAAACUGGCGAGCUAGAGUAGGGCAGAGGGUGGUGGAAUUUCCUGUGUAGCGGUGAAAUGCGUAGAUAUAGGAAGGAACACCAGUGGCGAAGGCGACCACCUGGGCUCAUACUGACACUGAGGUGCGAAAGCGUGGGGAGCAAACAGG
RNAcentral lists this ribosomal RNA (429 nucleotides) under Pseudomonadota bacterium. RNAcentral's name for it is "Proteobacteria bacterium partial 16S ribosomal RNA". It matches the Rfam family "Bacterial small subunit ribosomal RNA", at positions 355 to 776 of the family's 1533-position model. Lineage: Bacteria; Pseudomonadati; Pseudomonadota. The record is from RNAcentral.